GUCUAAAGCCAUACCACCCUGAAUCACCUGAUCUUGUCUGAUCUAGAAGCAAAACAAGGUCAGGCCUGGUUAGUACUUGAAUCAGUGAAAUGCAAUAGAUU
Molecule: ribosomal RNA, 101 nt
Filed under: Sus scrofa (pig)
Lineage: Eukaryota; Metazoa; Chordata; Mammalia; Artiodactyla; Suidae
Source: RNAcentral